AUUGCUUCUUGGCCUUUUGGCUAAGAUCAAGUGUAGUAUCUGUUCUUAUCAUUUUAAUAUCUGAUAUGUCCUCUAUGUGGAGACCAUAUAUUGAAUGGAUUUUUGGAUCAGGGAAAAGCAACAAUGGACUUAUAGGAAGCGUAACUUCGUGUGCCAUUCACAAGUAUCUUCUCAAGUUCUAGGGUUUGCCUUUU
Small nuclear RNA from Bombina bombina (fire-bellied toad), 194 nucleotides. RefSeq annotates it as U2 spliceosomal RNA. NCBI's taxonomy places the organism in Eukaryota, Metazoa, Chordata, Amphibia, Anura, Bombinatoridae. The transcript has a single exon. The record is from RefSeq and is a predicted model, not a curated record.